Molecule: non-coding RNA, 56 nt
Filed under: Schistosoma mattheei
Lineage: Eukaryota; Metazoa; Platyhelminthes; Trematoda; Strigeidida; Schistosomatidae
Source: RNAcentral
AUCUAGCUGAAGAGUCCCAAAUAGGACGAAACGCACAUCGCUAUCGGUCCCUAGCU